AGUCAGAGCAGGCUGCUUUGAUGUCUUUGCUUGAUGAGCUCCGCUUUUGUCAGCAAUGCAGACGGUCUCCCCGGGACCCCACGCCUGGAGAGAGUGCCAAGAAAGGGACGACCCUAAGCAUGGAGCCUGGAAAUGGGAGCACAGAAAUGCCACCACCUGUGGGCCUCUGAGCGAGUUCCUUACCCUCUCUGUGGCUUAGUUUCCUCAUUUGUAAAAUGGGUAACCAUUGUUCCUGCCUCUCAGGGCCACACUUCAAGCCUAGCUCACCACAACUUAGCUGGAAGGUCCACCCUCUAACUUCAGAUGGAGAUGCCUCUGUUGGAGCCCAGGCGUCAGCUGAUGGAUAGAGACAGUGGCCGCAGACACCCAGGGCUGUGCCGCCAGCUCAUGACGCCUGCCCAC
This is a long non-coding RNA of Manis pentadactyla (Chinese pangolin), 402 nucleotides long. RefSeq lists it as uncharacterized. The transcript is spliced from 3 exons. The record is from RefSeq and is a predicted model, not a curated record. Lineage: Eukaryota; Metazoa; Chordata; Mammalia; Pholidota; Manidae.